This 458-nucleotide ribosomal RNA is filed under the name uncultured bacterium. RNAcentral describes it as "bacterial SSU rRNA". It matches the Rfam family "Bacterial small subunit ribosomal RNA", at positions 28 to 514 of the family's 1533-position model. The record is from RNAcentral.
GAUGAACGCUGGCGGCGUGCCUAACACAUGCAAGUCGAGCGAUUCUCUUCGGAGAAGAGCGGCGGACGGGUGAGUAACGCGUGGGUAACCUGCCCUGUACACACGGAUAACAUACCGAAAGGUAUGCUAAUACGAGAUAAUAUGCUUUUAUCGCAUGGUAGAAGUAUCAAAGCUUUUGCGGUACAGGAUGGACCCGCGUCUGAUUAGCUAGUUGGUAAGGUAACGGCUUACCAAGGCGACGAUCAGUAGCCGACCUGAGAGGGUGAUCGGCCACAUUGGAACUGAGACACGGUCCAAACUCCUACGGAGGCAGCAGUGGGGAAUAUUACACAAUGGGCGAAAGCCUGAUGCAGCAAUGCCGCGUGAGCGAUGAAGGCCUUCGGUCGUAAAGCUCUGUCCUCAAGGAAGAUAAUGACGGUACUUGAGGAGGAAGCCCCGGCGUAACUACGUGCCAGCAG